Molecule: ribosomal RNA, 727 nt
Filed under: Lactococcus lactis
Lineage: Bacteria; Bacillati; Bacillota; Bacilli; Lactobacillales; Streptococcaceae
Description: bacterial SSU rRNA
Rfam family: Bacterial small subunit ribosomal RNA
Source: RNAcentral
UCAGGACGAACGCUGGCGGCGUGCCUAAUACAUGCAAGUUGAGCGCUGAAGGUUGGUACUUGUACCGACUGGAUGAGCAGCGAACGGGUGAGUAACGCGUGGGGAAUCUGCCUUUGAGCGGGGGACAACAUUUGGAAACGAAUGCUAAUACCGCAUAAAAACUUUAAACACAAGUUUUAAGUUUGAAAGAUGCAAUUGCAUCACUCAAAGAUGAUCCCGCGUUGUAUUAGCUAGUUGGUGAGGUAAAGGCUCACCAAGGCGAUGAUACAUAGCCGACCUGAGAGGGUGAUCGGCCACAUUGGGACUGAGACACGGCCCAAACUCCUACGGGAGGCAGCAGUAGGGAAUCUUCGGCAAUGGACGAAAGUCUGACCGAGCAACGCCGCGUGAGUGAAGAAGGUUUUCGGAUCGUAAAACUCUGUUGGUAGAGAAGAACGUUGGUGAGAGUGGAAAGCUCAUCAAGUGACGGUAACUACCCAGAAAGGGACGGCUAACUACGUGCCAGCAGCCGCGGUAAUACGUAGGUCCCGAGCGUUGUCCGGAUUUAUUGGGCGUAAAGCGAGCGCAGGUGGUUUAUUAAGUCUGGUGUAAAAGGCAGUGGCUCAACCAUUGUAUGCAUUGGAAACUGGUAGACUUGAGUGCAGGAGAGGAGAGUGGAAUUCCAUGUGUAGCGGUGAAAUGCGUAGAUAUAUGGAGGAACACCGGUGGCGAAAGCGGCUCUCUGGCC